Molecule: long non-coding RNA, 313 nt
Organism: Xenia sp. Carnegie-2017
Lineage: Eukaryota; Metazoa; Cnidaria; Anthozoa; Malacalcyonacea; Xeniidae
Exons: 2
Source: RefSeq, a predicted model, not a curated record
GGCCCCAUUGUUAUGUGAGCCCACCGAAAGGUGGUCAGCUGACGUUCACAUUUAAUCCACUCUUCAUCAAGCAUUCUUUGAGUUAUGGUGUAACUGGGGUGUUGAGAUGACCUUAUUUCUCUCCUUGAUGGCUACUCAACUUUGGUGGAAAACUUUACUAUGAACAUAUACUGUCGCUAUUAUACUGAACUAAUGGGUACAGUUGAUGAUAAUGUAUGGUUGCAUGGAUUGUUAUGAAUUAUGGGUACAGACGAUGAUAACGAACGGUUGCGUGGAGUGUUAUGAACCAUGAGCACAGAUGAUGAUAAUGAAU